Ribosomal RNA from Ophiostoma piceae, 120 nucleotides. NCBI's taxonomy places the organism in Eukaryota, Fungi, Ascomycota, Sordariomycetes, Ophiostomatales, Ophiostomataceae. The record is from Rfam.
ACGUACGGCCAUAGAUACUGGAAAGCACGGGAUCCCGUCCGCUCUCCCCUAGUUAAACCCGUAAUCGGCGGAUUAGUAGUUGGGUCGGUGACGACCAGCGAAUACCCUCUGCUGUACGUU